CAGCACCUCAAGUGGUCAGGAUGAUUAUUGGGCCUAAGGCAUCCGUAGCCGGCUCUGUAAGUUUUCGGUUAAAUCUGUACGCUCAACGUACAGGCUGCCGGGAAUACUGCAGAGCUAGGGAGUGGGAGAGGUAGACGGUACUCGGUAGGAAGGGGUAAAAUCCUUUGAUCUAUUGAUGACCACCUGUGGCGAAGGCGGUCUACCAGAACACGUCCGACGGUGAGGGAUGAAAGCUGGGGGAGCAAACCGGAUUAGAUACCCGAGUAGUCC
Molecule: ribosomal RNA, 270 nt
Filed under: uncultured archaeon
Lineage: Archaea
Description: partial 16S ribosomal RNA
Rfam family: Archaeal small subunit ribosomal RNA
Source: RNAcentral